GGUUUGUCGUCAGCUCGUGUCGUGAGAAUGUUGGGGUUAAAGUCCCGCAAACGAGCGCAACCCUGGAUCAUUUAGGUGUGCCAUCAUUAAGUUGGGCACUCUAAAGGUGACUGGCCGGGUGGAACCAAACCGGAGGGAAAGGUUGGGGAUGACGGUCAAAAUCAAUCAUGCCCNAUUUAUGACCCUGGGCUACACACGUGCUNACAAUGGACGGUACAAAGAAGCUGCAAGACCGCGAGGUGGAGCUAAUCUCAUAAACCGUUCUCAGUUCGGAUUGUAGGCUGCAACUCGCCUACAUGAAGCUGGAAUCGCUAGUAAUCGCGGAUCAGCAUGCACGCGGUGAAUACGUUCCCGGGCACUUGUACACACCGCCCGUCACACCACGAGAGUUUGUAACACCCGAAGUCGGUGGGGUAACCUUUCUUGGAGCACCGAGGACAGAUNAUUGGGAGUCAU
RNAcentral lists this ribosomal RNA (456 nucleotides) under uncultured bacterium. RNAcentral describes it as "bacterial SSU rRNA". It matches the Rfam family "Bacterial small subunit ribosomal RNA", at positions 1047 to 1484 of the family's 1533-position model. The record is from RNAcentral.